RNAcentral lists this microRNA precursor (80 nucleotides) under Podarcis lilfordi (Lilford's wall lizard). The record is from RNAcentral. Lineage: Eukaryota; Metazoa; Chordata; Lepidosauria; Squamata; Lacertidae.
AUGCAUAUCUAUACACACACACACACACACACAUAUAUAUAUAUAUAUAAAUCCGUGUGUGUGUGUAUAUAUAUAUUCAU